ACUUCAUAAACCUUUGACGAUUGAGUCAUGUUGCCUCGGCGGGUUCUCCCGCCAGAGGAUACAUCAAAACUCCUGUUUUAACGGUGUUGUCUGAGCUGCAAGCAACGAAUCAUACAACUUUCAAGCAACGGAUCUCUUGGUUCUGGCAUCGAUGAAGAACGCAGUCGAAAGUGCGAUAAGUAGUGUGAAUUGCAGAAUUCAGUGAAUCAUCGAAUCUUUGAACGCACAUUGCGCCCCUUGGUAUCCCGAGGGGCAUGCCUGUUCGAGCGUCAUUUCACCACUCAAGCCCGGCUUGGUGUUGGGCGACGUCUCCUUUAGGGACGCGCCUCGAAACGCUCGGCGGCGUGGCACCGGCUUUAAGCGUAGCANAAUCUUUCGCUUUGAGAGUCGGGGCCUCGUCUGCCGGAAGACCUACUCGUAAGGUUGACCUCGGAUCAGGUAGGGAUACCCGCU
RNAcentral lists this ribosomal RNA (453 nucleotides) under uncultured Cenococcum. RNAcentral's name for it is "eukaryotic LSU rRNA". The stretch from base 116 to 272 matches the Rfam family "5.8S ribosomal RNA". The record is from RNAcentral. Lineage: Eukaryota; Fungi; Ascomycota; Dothideomycetes; Gloniales; Gloniaceae.